GAUACUUACCUGGCAGGGGAGAUACCAUGAUCACGAAGGUGGUUUUCCCAGGGCGAGGCUUAUCCAUUGCACUCCGGAUGUGCUGACCCCUGCGAUUUCCCCAAAUGCGGGAAACUCGACUGCAUAAUUUGUGGUAGUGGGGGACUGCGUUCGCGCUCUCCCCUG
Molecule: small nuclear RNA, 165 nt
Filed under: Rattus norvegicus (Norway rat)
Lineage: Eukaryota; Metazoa; Chordata; Mammalia; Rodentia; Muridae
Rfam family: U1 spliceosomal RNA
About the family: U1 is a small nuclear RNA (snRNA) component of the spliceosome (involved in pre-mRNA splicing). Its 5' end forms complementary base pairs with the 5' splice junction, thus defining the 5' donor site of an intron. There are significant differences in sequence and secondary structure between metazoan and yeast U1 snRNAs, the latter being much longer (568 nucleotides as compared to 164 nucleotides in human).
Source: RNAcentral